This 452-nucleotide ribosomal RNA is filed under the name uncultured eukaryote. RNAcentral's name for it is "bacterial SSU rRNA". It matches the Rfam family "Eukaryotic small subunit ribosomal RNA", at positions 721 to 1091 of the family's 1831-position model. The record is from RNAcentral.
GUUCGGGUUCCGCGGGACGGGGCCGCCCCGCGAGGGACGGCGCCGCCCCGGGGCUCGUGAUAUCUCAUCUCGCCGCCCGUCGCGAGGCGGACGGAGGGAUGGAUGAGGUUUACCUGGAAAAAAUCGGGGCGAUCUAGGCGGGCGAACCUCGCCAACGAACGAUCGGACAUGGGAUAACGGAAGAGGGCGUCGGCUCGACUUCGUCGGUUCCUCGGGCCGAGGCACGUACGGUGAAUAGGGGACGGUCGGGGCCGCCCGUACCGGGGUCGUGAGAGGUGAAAUUCUAGGAUCGACCCGAGACGAACCGCCGCGAAAGCAUUCGGCAAGGACGCUUUCAUUAAUCAAGAACGAAAGUCGGGGGAUCGAAGACGAUCAGAUACCGUCGUAGUCCGACCGUAAACGAUGCCGACCGAGGGCCCGGAGGAGUACGUACGACCCUCCGGGCCCUCCCG